AGUGAACGCUGGCGGUAGGCCUAACACAUGCAAGUCGAACGGCAGCACAGUAAGAGCUUGCUCUUACGGGUGGCGAGUGGCGGACGGGUGAGGAAUACAUCGGAAUCUACUUUUUCGUGGGGGAUAACGUAGGGAAACUUACGCUAAUACCGCAUACGACCUACGGGUGAAAGCAGGGGAUCUUCGGACCUUGCGCGAUUGAGUGAGCCGAUGUCGGAUUAGCUAGUUGGCGGGGUAAAGGCCCACCAAGGCGACGAUCCGUAGCUGGUCUGAGAGGAUGAUCAGCCACACUGGAACUGAGACACGGUCCAGACUCCUACGGGAGGCAGCAGUGGGGAAUAUUGGACAAUGGGCGCAAGCCUGAUCCAGCCAUACCGCGUGGGUGAAGAAGGCCUUCGGGUUGUAGAGCCCUUUUGUUGGGAAAGAAAAGCAGCAGGUUAAUACCCCGCUGUUCUGACGGUACCCAAAGAAUAAGCACCGGCUAACUUCGUG
Molecule: ribosomal RNA, 492 nt
Filed under: uncultured bacterium
Lineage: Bacteria
Description: partial 16S ribosomal RNA
Rfam family: Bacterial small subunit ribosomal RNA
Source: RNAcentral